RNAcentral lists this long non-coding RNA (1140 nucleotides) under Scleropages formosus (Asian bonytongue). Its description in RNAcentral is "lncRNA (ENSSFOG00015030290.1)". Lineage: Eukaryota; Metazoa; Chordata; Actinopteri; Osteoglossiformes; Osteoglossidae. The record is from RNAcentral.
GCCUAGAUUAACAUCAGUUUUAAUUUCGCAAAAAAAAAAAAGAUAAUUAACAUUUUUAAAAAUGUUCCAAAAUCUGUUCCACCCCUACGUCAGUGCGUCGGGGUGGUUCCCGUGACGUCACACGUCACUUUUCUCUCGGAGGCAUCUGAUUGGAUAUCUGGCCUCCCACGCGGAUCAUCUUUAUGCGCGUGAUUUCCUACCGCCAAAUUCGACGGGUUUUCCCUGAAACGGACGGAUUUAUAUUUUCAUGAGUUGUUGUUUAUCAGAAGUUUUAGCCGUUGCGGACAUUUCAUUUGAGCUCGAGUGUGAAGUAGAUCCGCUAUGAGUGACAAAUGCGCCAAACUGAAACUGAAACGAAAGAAGCCGCCACUCCCGGAGUAUAAAACUUCUUUUAAAAGUGGACAAAAUGUCGGCGUCUGUGAGAGAGACAGUAAAAGAGUGAAAGAAGGAGCUUCGCUGUUAAAGUGCACAGCACAGCAGCCCGUCGGUGGUGCUCAGCAGUGGUGGAGCAGCACCGGACUCGGAGAGGUGGAGCGACUGUGGACGUCCGCACUGAAGUCCGCCAUCCCUAAUCUGGAGCAGGACGUGUGGGAGCCCGUGUCAGACCUCCCUGCGGCCUCAGCACCGAGACCAUCAGACAGAGAUGACACGGGGUGGACGUGGUGCAGUCUUGGCGAAGAAGUGGGCCCCUUUCCUUCUCCAGCCACGGACGUUCACACCUCAAAGGAACCGCUGUGCCCUGCAGAUUCCGGUCCAGGUUCCACUGAAAAUGGGACUGUGCUGAUGGAACACGAGCAGAGGCGUGACCUCUUCCCCAGGCCUGGUGGUCUCGCGCUGCGUCUGGGAAAUGAGCAGCCACAGGAGCCUACUUCUUCAUGGGAGACGACAGGAGGGAGCGUCUCGGCAGACAGGCCCCGGCCCCAAGUAGAGCCGGCCGGCGCCUCGUUAGCUGCCACUGGGAACGAGAGAAUCGCGGACCAGGACAGCGCGGUUGGGGCUGAUGGGAGUUCGAGAGGGGGCGAUAGCUUGGAAAGCUGCCCCAUGUGCUUGAUGAGGUUCCCUGCUGGGUUCAGCCAGAUGGACUGCGACAGCCACCUCGCCAAAUGCUUGUCAGAAAUGAAUGAGGACAUAACGUGGUGA